GGGCCUAUAGCUCAGUUGGUUAGAGCAACGGACUCAUAAUCCGUCGGUCCUAGGUUCAAGUCCUAGUGGGCCCA
Molecule: transfer RNA, 74 nt
Filed under: Spirochaetaceae bacterium
Lineage: Bacteria; Pseudomonadati; Spirochaetota; Spirochaetia; Spirochaetales; Spirochaetaceae
Description: tRNA-Ile
Rfam family: tRNA
About the family: Transfer RNA (tRNA) molecules are approximately 80 nucleotides in length. Their secondary structure includes four short double-helical elements and three loops (D, anti-codon, and T loops).
Source: RNAcentral